This is a long non-coding RNA of Fundulus heteroclitus (mummichog), 2165 nucleotides long. RefSeq lists it as uncharacterized. Lineage: Eukaryota; Metazoa; Chordata; Actinopteri; Cyprinodontiformes; Fundulidae. The record is from RefSeq and is a predicted model, not a curated record. The transcript is spliced from 2 exons.
UAAACUGCAGACAUCUGGCUGAUAUUCUACUGAUCCACACUGAGGAUCUUCAUGGUAAAGUCUGCUUUCUUCUUCACUGCUUUGCUCCAGUUAAAGUUUCUUUCUGUUUCCAACUUCCUGCCAGGAUUUAUUGCCUAAAAACAGCAACUCCUAAACUCCACGUUGCUCAACUGAGAGCCUCCAGGAUUGUCAAAGACUCCUGGAUCAGGUGUUGAAACGUUUUCACAGAAACUGAGUGAAAGUCUGCUAACCUUGGAUUUAAUCCUGUUGUAGUUGCCAUGACUCUGAUGAUUGAGAAUAUGCACAGGCAUGAGCAGACAAGCCAGAGGGCCCGGUGUGGAGCAGAAUUAUAAUGAUGAGAGAUUAAAGCUGUCUACUACUGAGGUUAAUGCAAAGUUACAGACAAGUAACAGACUUUAAGAAGCAAACUGAAGAUAAAAGUCUUUGUCUUCAGCUUCAAGCAGACCAUCACUACUGAAAGCCAGCGCUAAGCUGACCACCUCACUAUAGCUGCUGGUGUUGCUAGGAUGUGGUCCUGACGGGCCCAUGUGGGCUGAGGGAGAGGUACCGAGAGACAACACAUCCAGAGGUUUACAUCCUGAAGGUGAGGAAACCAGGGAUAGAAGAACAAAGAUGGAGACGGCAGUACAAGUAACCCCUCCAGAACCGUUGGACUUCUCCUGUCCUGCAGAACGGGCGAGGUGGGCCAGAAGAUUGGAGAGGUUUCAGACUGCAGCAGCUCUAGAUGAGAAAUGUGAGGAAGAUCAAGUUAGUUCACUCCUGUUUGCUGUGGGAGAAGCUGCAGAUGACAUUUUAGCUGUUGGACCUUUGACUAGAGCAGAGAAAAGAUGCCUGGAGCUGGAAAAGCUGUGUUUGAGCAGCACUAUGUGGGGAAAUCCUCCAUCAUCUUUAAAAGAGCCCAGUUCAGUUCCAGACGUCACCAAGAUGGAGAGAGAGCAGAACCAUUUAUUACAGCUGGACACAAACUGGCAGGAAACUGUGGUUCUGGAGAACUGGAAGAAGAACUCAUACGGGCCAGAACUGUAGCUGGGAUAAAAGGACAUAAAGCUGUCUGAACCGGUACCAAUGGACUCUGAGUUAACGCUCACAAAGGCCAAAGAAAAAGUCCAGCAGAGGGAAACUGUGAAGAACCAUAAACAGUUCUGCUCAGCAGCACAGCAGAGGGGAGCAGAUCCAACAUGGACGCCAGAAGGACCAAGAUGAGAAAAAUAAAGAGCCAGACCCGGCAGCAGUCAGAACGGGACCAAAGCCAGAGAAGCUGGGAGGAAAAGAGUGUGGUGGAUGUGGCUGAAAGCAGAAAGCUUCAUGGAAAGACUGCCCAGCUAGAGAUGUUCAGUGUUGGAGCUGUUAGAAGGAGCUUCUUGCUGGAGUUUGUUGGUUCGGCCCAGCAGCCAAACUACAGGAGGUCCCAGAACCCCAAGAUGACCCAGACAGGCAGGAUGAUGGAUUUCUAGGAGAAAGAGGGUUGAGGAGGUCAGAACCGUGGAGAGAAAAGGUCCAGAUGAACCACCAUGACAGAUAUGGGAGUGGUGUAGGGGUUUCUGGGAAGUUGGAGUAAAAAUGUUCCUAAGCAGAGUCCGGUGGGUCCUGUCUGCUGGUUGUACAGCCAUGUUCUCCUGAUAUUGUUCAGCUCUACUUUCUAGGAGCCCUUUUCAGUGAGCCAGGAUCUAAACAAUGGGAGGACUUGUUGAAAUGACUGCAGACUCUCUGUAAAUAUCCUCACCAUGAAUCCAGCAUCAUCUAAUAUAGCCGACAAUAAAGGAGUCAGAGACACAAGCAGGAAAGUCCAGGAAAAAAUAAGCAGCAUUUUUCCUGAAGAGUCUGAAUGUGGUCCAGAUGUUCUGCAGAGUAAAAACUGGAAAAGGUCCAUUUGUUCUGGGCUCCACCUUCUGGACUGAAGCAACAUUGAGCUCUGAACUGUUGGCCUCCAGUUAAAUCUCAGCUUGGAUGGUUGGAUGAAGAAAUCUGAUGUUUGUUGGGAAUUUGUUCUGCUUUCUUUGCUGAUAACAUUGAUAUCAGACUGGUUCUGUUUGUGAUGCAGCAUCCUGUGUGACAGUAGAACAGGUAGAAGCGCUUCUGUUCUCAGUCAUGUAUUCAUGUGUUUAGAAAUGAGUGAAGUGUAAUUAUUGCAGCUGUUGAUCCUU